Non-coding RNA from Sus scrofa (pig), 5924 nucleotides. NCBI's taxonomy places the organism in Eukaryota, Metazoa, Chordata, Mammalia, Artiodactyla, Suidae. The record is from RefSeq and is a predicted model, not a curated record.
AGACUAGAAUGGCUAACCUUUAAGGUUUGGAUUUGGAGACUAGAAUGGCUAACCUUUAAGGUUUGGAUUUGGAGGCUAGAAUGGCUAACCUUUAAGAAUCAGAGAGAAACCUUUUGUAUUUUGAAGCAACCGACUCUUUUUUUUGGCUGCACCAGUGACAUAUGGAAGUUCCCAGGCCAGAGAUCGAAUCCGAGCCAUAGCUGUUGCAACGCUGGAGCCUUAACCCACUGUGCCACAGCAGGAACUCCAAGGCAGCUGAUUUUUUAUUAUUGUUUUUGCAAAGGCUCUAAAGCUUCUCUAAAAUCAUCUCCUAGAGUCAGAGCUUCUCUGAGUCUUCCCCCAGUGCUUACAAAGAUGCAUGAAAUCAGUAGUCAUUCUGCCACCCCGAUUGUGUCCCACUCUCAGCCCCACCGUCUGGCUGGUGACGAUUCUCUUUAUCAAUCCCAAGGCAGCAGCUGAACCCCGUGCAGGAUCUGGCAUCUCCCCCCACCCCACGCCCCGCCCCCUUGUCCUGUUCGAUCCCCUUGAAUGUAAAUUGUCAGCCCUGCAGUGACAGACACAGCAAGUUGCAAAGGGAGGGAGGCGGUGCUAUUUAUAAUGCAGUGGAGUUCACCCUCAGAACACAGCCAUUUUUUUCCAGGCCACCUGCCAGAGCCCACAUUCCCCAGGCUCCAUAUAUGGGCCUCCCCACAGGCCCCCACGGCCAGAGCCUCACCUCUGAGGGGACUAAGGCAGCCAGGCGAGUCAGGAAGGUGGAGGCCACGUCUUAAACACCUGGCCUCUUCUUCUCUUCUCCGAGCAUCCGGAACAAAUCAGACCCACAGAAAAUCUUCACUCAUGUCCCUCAGCCAAGGCACCCUUUACCUGCGAGCUCUUUUCAGCCUGGGACGGAUUCCUGAGUCUUUCGAUUCCUUGGGCUCUGUAACCCUCCCUGAGAGGCCACAAUCCCUUAUCUGUGGAGGUCCCAGCCGUCCCCACUGUUACCCAUUUGCUUGCGACAAACAUGGGGCUGGCACUUCGGCAGGGGAAAAGCAGCAGCAGGAGUUGAUCAAUUCCUAAGCAACGGAAGAUCCUGUUUUCAUGCAAACGUCCCCGGCAUUAAAACAAAAACAAAUUCUUCCCAGGGCGCGUCCUGGAUGCCAAGUCUUCUUGCAAGACGCAUUUUGAAGCAGGGUUUUGCGCCUGCGUGGGAGACUAACGGGGGCUGGGAGGAGAGCUGCAUGCCAACUGCGACUCUAUAGGCUCUCAUUUAAAACUCACAGCCACCCCCUGAGCUAGCCACAGCCGGAUCCCGAUUUGACAGACGAGGAAACAGGCAGAGGGAAAUGAGGAAACAUGUCCAGGGUCAAUCAGCUGGCGAGUGGCAGCCAGGGGAUGUGACCAGGUCUGACCGGAGCUGUUUUGUUUUGGACACAGGCACAAUGCGACUGUAUUCACCUUACAGAGACCAGGGGGUGACCAUGAACAUUUCAAGAUGACUAGAGGCGAAAUCUUUUUCUCCUUAGUGUGCUUUUCUCAUCACAUAAAUAAAAAACUGUACUUUUCUCAACAAAGAGAAAGAAGGAAUGAACCUGGGUACCACUUCUCUUCACACGAUCAACCGGUCCUGGGUAUGACUCUGGAUGAAAUGUUAGAACUGACUAAAUGCUGUGGAGUCUGUGAUGCCUACAAAAUGCUCAGAAGCAUCCCUGAUGACUUGGCUGUGGCCACCUUCUCAGCUCUCUUGCCUCUGAGGCCAGUAGCAGAUAAAGGGAGGGUGACAGAAAGAGAUGUAAGAAACAAAUGCAGGGCCCUUAGGUGGAAAGGCAACAAGUGCCCUUGAGUUCUGAAGAGGUGGGGAUCACUGAGGGCUUCCUGGAGGAGGAAUUUAUUCCAUAGCAACUCAGAGGCUUUAUAACAGACAGCUGUGGCCUGGUCCUGCAGGAGCUGGACGCCCACCAACUCUGGCAUUACUGGAACACUUCCGGGGACACUGGGCUGGCCCAGUGGUUAUGGACUGUGCCCACGGGCCAUCUAGCCUCCAGCUGGCUCCUGAAGCUUUGUUCUUCAGGAUCAUGGGGUUCAAAGACAACAUGCAUUGAUGGGGUAAGGGCAGACCACAAGAGUCACUUUUGGCAAAUGACCAGGCCUGCAGCACUUUUGUGCUGCAAGAUCAUCAGGUACUGUCCCCUUCCUGCUGAUUCCUAGUUCACGGCUGACGGUCCAGCCAAGACUCCAGCUCAAACCUCUUUCCUCUUGCCUCUGCAACCCUCCGUGCAGCCCCCUUUCUCACACUGAGGCAGUGGCUGCACUACGUGCUCAGAAGCACCCAGCGAUCCUGGGAUUGGGAGAUACAGAGAGCAUAUCUCCUGGAGGCAGCCUUCUCAAGGUAACCAGCAAGCGAAUCCAGGGCAGGGAGGAGCUUCCUCCUGGUGCAUCUCCCUUCCUAGUGUUACUGCUAUUACAGCAACUGGGACUGAGCAGGCAAAGGUCUGGUGCUAGGAAUGGUGAGUAGGCAAGUCUGGCAGGAGAAAAGGGCCCAUAAAGGGACUUUGUGGUAAUUAAAAGUGACAGGAACCAGCUGAGUGGAAAGAGCAUGGACUCUGUGUACAAAAGACCUGGGCUGGCAUCCAACACUGUCGCCGUGUCAGGGGUGGAGAGUGCUCCCCAGUAUUCACCGUCUCCUUUUCCUCCCUGGGCAGCAGCUGGACUACAUUUCCCAGGCUUCUUUGUGGUGACAAGUGGUCAUGUGACAGCUUUUUGGCCAAUGGAAUUCGAAUAGAAAUGAUGUGAGCUCUGGGCCCUAAAAACCUCCCACUUGUGGUUCUGUCUUUUCUCUGUCCACCAACUGAAUGGAAAGUGCUCCCAAGACUAGAGGGAGACAGAACCACAAGAGGGAGGAGCCUGGGUCCCUGAAUCACUGUGUGGAACACCACGUGCCAGACAUACACUCUGAAUUGUGGUCUGAGCCGGAAAUAGCCUUCUAGGGUGUGAAGCUAUUAAAAUUUGGUGAUUGAUAAAGCUGUUAGUUCAACCGGACUAGUAUAAUGUUUUACUUGCCACGUGACUUUGGAUGAGUUUCUUAACCUUCCAAAGCUUAGAUCCCCUCAUCUGUAAAAUGAGAAUUAAAAACAAAACCUUCCUGAGAAUGACUGGGCUAGCAUUUGUAAAGUUCCUCCAACCAAGGCUCCUUCAUGAUUUUUGUGAGCCCUAGGCUUUUGCCUUUGUGGGUCCCUUCCUGCAUUUAAAACGAACAAAUAAACAAACAAACAACCUCAAAAAUUAGGUUGUAAGAUUACACUGGCAUAAAGACAAAUAUAUUCCAGGCUGGAUUAAUCAUUAUGUUUAUCAUAUUUAUUAUUUUAAUAGCUUAUUUUAUAUUCAUAAUUAUUAUAUGCAUGUAUUUCUUCUAAUUUUAAAAGAAAUUUAAAUGAAACAUAUUCUAGGGCCCUAAAACUAUAGUGGGUCCCCAGCACCAUCCCUAUCGUAUCUAAGGAAGAAAUGGAUCUUUCUUACUGCAUGAUGCCUGGCCUGUGAUGCAUGGAAUAAAUAACUACCACAGAUAUUUUUAAAAAAUAAUAGGAAGAUGGAGACAUGAAAUAGCCACAAAUGGUUACGUAGCCCUUUCACACCUCAUUUCCUCCAACGCUCACAUCCACUGUAUGAGAUGGUUCCAUCUAUAUUUUCCAAAGCAAAGGUCCAGGAGAUUAAGUGUCAUGCUCAAGAGGGGUAAGAACCUCUACGGCUCGGCGCUUUCUGCCUGCCGCCUCAUGCCAGGCACAAUGCUAGACGCCUGUCCUACUGCAUCGCUUUUAAGUUUCAUGACCCUGUGAUGACAUGGGUCUUCUUUCUUAUCCCCAUUUUACAACUGAAAGAAGAAAUCAAUGCUGAGGACAAGUGGCUGAGCUGAGAACAGAAACCACUGCUGGUGCCAAGACUAAGGCUUGCUCCAUCACCUCACCUUUCCAUCUCCCAAGAGCUGUGUCCUGAGCACUGAUAACUGGCAGUAUCUGUGGGGGUGUCGGUCACCCCAGCACCUCCUUUCACAGAGCAGAGAGGGACUGGCUCAGGGCUGACGUCCAAACACAUCAUGCCAGAUUAUACUCGGGCUUUCUCAUUCUCUACCCAAAUGUUCUCCUUCAAAGGUCUAAUUAUAGUGACUUCUAUUUUCUUGUAAAUAAUCACAUCUGUCAUAACUGAUUUCACUGAUCCAAGGCUUCAAGUUGGCAGUCUUGGAGGCCUGAGCCAAUGUGUCAAUUAUGCCAAGCGGGCUGUAAGUGAAAGUUGCACGAAAUGGAAGAGAGAGGAAAAAAACUCGCUGCAGGCAUAUAUAUAGAUGGUGGGGACCAAGACGUGCUUUUUCACAAUAACAAUAUCAACACAAACUCCCAAAGGCGGCCAGUGGAGUCAAUGAGUGAAACUGACACAGCCGGCCAGAUCCCAGAGAAGGAAAACCAUCUUUUUAGUGGAGACUCGGUCUUAGAAACAGGUUUUACUAAUAUCCUUUGCACCUAAAGUGACGACGCCCCCCCCCACCCCGCCCCGGAACGUGCCAUAGCUCUUUGUGCUUGUUUUCAAGAGGGAAGACAGAAUACAGGGAUCCCUCCCAUGAAAGGGUCCCGUAUCUGAAGGGCUGUGUUUUGAGUGCAGCUGCUCAGCCAGCAUAGCAUCUGGACUUGGCGACCCGUCUCUCUCCACCUACCUUAUCAGUAUUGUGACUAAGCAAGUCAUUUCACUUUCCUCAAUUCGUCUCAGCUUCCUCACCUAUAAAAUGAGGACAACCUACAACUCCCAUGGGGCCGAAUGAUACAAUGACCGUGUGUGGCAGCCUCUGGCAAGUGUUCACACGGCAUAAAUGCGAAUCACCAUCACGAUGAUGCAUAGAUCAGUGUGUAUGGAGUCCUGCUUUCAAUCCGUGGGGGUGGUUUUUUUCCCUCCUCAAAAAAUUCUAAGUAGAAAGAGUCGUGUUUUAAGUCGGAGAGGGGAUGGGAGAAGGGAUGAUGGGAUCUACGUGGGACUUUUUUCAUAGGGAGUUGUUUGAAAGUCAUCUUGCCAAUUAAGCUCCGCAAGUCCCUGUGUCUGACGGGAAGUUCCAAGAAAAGAGUGUUUUCUAGGUAAGAACAGGGAGAAAUGAAAGGCAGCUCUCAUCUACUUCCUCAGGUGCUUCGAGGGAAGGGACACAUGCUUCUGGUGACUCAAAUCCUGCAGCAGGUGUAACCUCCUUUGGGUCUGGCCAACCCAUGGAGCAGAGGCGCUAAGAGCACAGACUUUGAGCUUUGAGUCCAGCUCAAUGCUCCACUCAUGGGACGGAUUUGGGCACGUUAUCUCACCUUCGUGUGCUUCAAUUUCCUCACCUAUAAAAUGAGGACCAUAACCAUACACUACCUACCCCUGAGGGUGGUGGUGAGGAAUAAAGGAAUGAACACGUCAGUGGCUGAUAAGAGGACCAGGAACACAGGACGCAAUCAGUACCUGUCAAUGGACAUAUUCCAGCAUGACCGCAUCCAGCAUUUAUUAACCUGUGUGUUUAACAAGUGAGUUCUCUUUCAGAUUUUCCACCUCCACCUUCUUCCUAAGAAGGAAAUUCUGAGUACCGUCUAUAAGACGGUUGAACCACUACGUUGUACAUGUGAAACUAAUAUUAUAUUGAGGAUCAACUAGGCUUCAAUAAAAAGAAGGAGAUUCUGCAGUCCACACAGAGAAAACCUGGCAGCAAAGCACAAUGCUAAGAGCGCCGUGAUCUACAAGGGAAUCUUCAGGAGGGGCCCCGAGGUAGCCUCCUUCAAAGGAAUUCCUUUCUGGAGCAGAGACGUGGAGAAAGUUUGGGACUGAAAAUCAAGAGAUCUCCAGUAAGAGCCGUUUUCCCACCCUGUGGCCUUGACCAAGUCACUCCUCUCUGGGUAUAAAUGUUCUCAGCUGUAAAAUAAACAGGGCUUUUGGCUGUG